UAUAUUGGAAUUAUUAUUCUUGGGAUCUGGCUUGUACAGAUUCCUUUUUUGCAUUGUCUGGCAUCUUUGAAGUUUGGUUAAUAAAACUUGUUUGAUGCUAUUAUAUUCUCCUCAUUGCAUGCUUUUUAUUUCGAGAUGUGGAAUGCCAAGUGCAAAGGAGUUAUUUUUGUAUAGAAACAGACUAUUUUAUACCAGAAUCGUUCUGUGCCCCUUAAGAUUGGAAAAUGAACGGGUUGCCUUUCCUUUACAUUUAGGAGAUAGGAGAACAAAACAACCUGGGGAGUUGGUGACGAAGCCUUCAAUUUUUUUUCAUCAUGCAAGGGUGGACCAAAGAUUCUAUAGAUGAUAUCUGGAGUCCUCAGUGUUCUCAUAUUAGCAGGGAGUCCUCAGUGUUCUCAUAUUAGGUUUUUAUGGUUUCAUUGUUCUUCAGAUUCGUCUGAAAAUGUGCAUCUCACAAAGACAUGAUUGUUUUAUUUGUUGACUUGCAUGUGGUAAAAGUCAAUUUUCUUGCCGUAAAAAAUGGAACGCAAGAAGAUUCUUUGAGGUUCUAUAUUUGUAAAUUUUUCAAUUUGGUAUGGACUAUAGGUUGUACAGUCAAUGAGAAUUUAAAUUGGUUUUUUAGGAGUGGGGGCUGAGGUGGUGUGGGAAGAAAUCUUUAUAUUGUAUUAGUCUAUGGGAGCAACAAGUUCAGAAGUAUGGUUAGAAUGUG
RNAcentral lists this long non-coding RNA (709 nucleotides) under Citrus sinensis (sweet orange). RNAcentral describes it as "long non-coding RNA (CSIN_LNC003617)". Lineage: Eukaryota; Viridiplantae; Streptophyta; Magnoliopsida; Sapindales; Rutaceae. The record is from RNAcentral.